This 775-nucleotide ribosomal RNA is filed under the name uncultured Actinobacillus sp. Its description in RNAcentral is "bacterial SSU rRNA". It matches the Rfam family "Bacterial small subunit ribosomal RNA", at positions 99 to 872 of the family's 1533-position model. Lineage: Bacteria; Pseudomonadati; Pseudomonadota; Gammaproteobacteria; Pasteurellales; Pasteurellaceae. The record is from RNAcentral.
CGGACGGGUGAGUAAUGCUUGGGAAUCUGGCUUAUGGAGGGGGAUAACGACGGGAAACUGUCGCUAAUACCGCGUAAUAUCUUCGGAUUAAAGGGUGGGACUUUCGGGCCACCUGCCAUAAGAUGAGCCCAAGUGGGAUUAGGUAGUUGGUGGGGUAAAGGCCUACCAAGCCGACGAUCUCUAGCUGGUCUGAGAGGAUGACCAGCCACACUGGAACUGAGACACGGUCCAGACUCCUACGGGAGGCAGCAGUGGGGAAUAUUGCACAAUGGGGGGAACCCUGAUGCAGCCAUGCCGCGUGAAUGAAGAAGGCCUUCGGGUUAUAAAGUUCUUUCGGUGAUGAGGAAGGGUGAUGUUUUAAUAGAGCAUUACAUUGACGUUAGUCACAGAAGAAGCACCGGCUAACUCCGUGCCAGCAGCCGCGGUAAUACGGAGGGUGCGAGCGUUAAUCGGAAUGACUGGGCGUAAAGGGCACGCAGGCGGUGACUUAAGUGAGAUGUGAAAGCCCCGAGCUUAACUUGGGAAUUGCAUUUCAUACUGGGUCGCUAGAGUAUUUUAGGGAGGGGUAGAAUUCCACGUGUAGCGGUGAAAUGCGUAGAGAUGUGGAGGAAUACCGAAGGCGAAGGCAGCCCCUUGGGAAUAUACUGACGCUCAUGUGCGAAAGCGUGGGGAGCAAACAGGAUUAGAUACCCUGGUAGUCCACGCUGUAAACGCUGUCGAUUUGGGGAUUGGGCUUUGAGCUUGGUGCCCGUAGCUAACGUGAUAAAUCGACCGC